Molecule: ribosomal RNA, 488 nt
Filed under: Ruminiclostridium papyrosolvens C7
Lineage: Bacteria; Bacillati; Bacillota; Clostridia; Eubacteriales; Oscillospiraceae
Description: bacterial LSU rRNA
Rfam family: Bacterial large subunit ribosomal RNA
Source: RNAcentral
GUUUGGUUAAGUUAGAAAGGGCGCACGGUGGAUGCCUUGACACUAGGAGUCGAUGAAGGACGGGACUAACGCCGAUAUGCUUCGGGGAGCUGUAAGUAAGCUUUGAUCCGAAGAUUUCCGAAUGGGGAAACCCACCAUACGUAAUGGUAUGGUAUCCUUAUCUGAAUACAUAGGGUAAGGAAGACAGACCCAGGGAACUGAAACAUCUAAGUACCUGGAGGAAGAGAAAGCAAAUGCGAUUUCCUGAGUAGCGGCGAGCGAAACGGAACAUAGCCCAAACCAAGAGGCUUGCCUCUUGGGGUUGUAGGACAUUCUAUACGGAGUUACAAAGGAACGAGGUAGACGAAGCGACCUGGAAAGGUCCGUCGUAGAGGGUAACAACCCCGUAGUCGAAACUUCGUUCUCUCUUGAAUGUAUCCUGAGUACGGCGGAACACGUGAAAUUCCGUCGGAAUCUGGGAGGACCAUCUCCCAAGGCUAAAUACUCCC